AUGAAAACUAGUAUCAGAAACCACUUGAUUUCACAGUCUGUGCUACUCUUGUUAUCUUACACUGGUGGCAUUUUUGAACUUGGUUUCUUCACACCAGGUAACUCUCAACACUAUUACAUCGGCAUCUGGUACAAAAAUCUUCCCCAACAGACAGUUGUUUGGGUGGCAAACCGAAACCAACCAAUUAUUGAUCCAACUUCCUCGUCCCUUGUGCUCCUUGAAAAUGGAAACUUGUCCUUAAACAGCCUCUCAACCGUGGCAAUAUGGUCAGCAAAUUCAACAUCACAAGCUAGAAAUUCUACUAUAGCCAUGCUUCUGGACAAUGGCAACUUUGUCAUAAGAAAUGCAUCUGCAGUACUAUGGCAGAGUUUUGAUCAUCCAACUGAUACUUGGCUGCCAGGUGCAAGGCUUGGAUAUAACAAGCUUACCAAGGAAAAACUAAUUCUUUCUCCCUGGAAAAAUCCUCAAAAUCCAGCACCUGGUCCCUUUUCUUUUGAGUUAGUACAGACUAGUCUUUGGUUGUUUUGGAAAAGUUCGGAAACUUACUGGACUAGUGGUUAUUGGACAGGGAAAACUUUCAGCCGUGUUCCAAAAAUAGAAGUGAAGUAUGAUGCUACAGUUUAGUCAUUUGUCUCAAAUGAUAAUGCAAGGUAUCUUACUUAUGUAGCUAAUUCUAUUGCCUAUCAUAAUACCUUCAUCAGGUUCAUGAUAGAAACCACUGGUCAAUUGAAGUUCUUUGGCUUGGAUAUGGGCUCCCUGCAAUGGAAUCUGCUAUGGAUGGAUCCAAUCGAAGGAUGUGAUGUUUAUGCUUCCUGUGGUGCUUUUAGCAUAUGCAACCCACCUAUUCCUCAGUGUGGCUGCCUAAAAGGAUUUGAACCCACAUUACCGAACCACUGGGAAUUAAAAGAUUACUCAAAUGGCUGUGGGAGGAAAACUUCUUUUCAUUGCGGUGAGGAAGGAAAUUCUGCAUUCCUGGUGAUGGAGAAUGUUACUUACCCGAACAGUCCCGACUCCUUGGUAGUUGAGAACAUUGACAAAUGUAGAUUAGCUUGCUUGAGAAAUUGCUCAUGCACUGCUUUUGCUUAUGAUAAUCAGUGUCUGGUUUGGAAGGGUGAUCUGUUUAAUGUAAAACAACCAUCAUCUGAUGGAAUGUUGGGAAAAGUGUGGUAUCUACGAGUAGCAUCAUCAGAGAAGAAUCAAAUAAUAGAUUCUAAAGAUGGGAACAGAAAGAGAAAGACUACUUGGAUUGUGGUUGGAGUACUUGCAGGCAUCUUUUCUCUCUUAAGCAUUGUGCUGGUCUUUGUCCGACGGAGACAGUCUGUUGGAGCAUUGGAGUCUCUUGAGGAUCCUCUAGUGCUGUUCAACUACAGACAUUUGAUGAAAGCAACAGAAAACUUCUCAGAGAAACUUGGAGAAGGAGCUUUCGGUUCUGUUUUCAAGGGGAUAUUGCCUGAUUCAACUCCCAUAGCAGUGAAACAACUAAAGAGUCUGUUGCAGGGUGAAAAGCAAUUUCAGGCUGAAGUGAGAACUCUUGGUGCAAUCCAGCACAUUACUGUUCUUCGCCUCCGUGGGUUUUGUGCAGAUUCUACAAGAAGACUCUUGGUAUAUGACUAUGUGCCAAAUGGCUCUCUACAAUCUGUUCUAGUUCCAAAACAUCCACUAAUCUUGGAUUGGAAAAAAAGAUAUCAUAUUGCCAUAGGCAUUGCAAGAGGAUUGGCUUAUCUCCAUGAGGACUGUAGAGAUUGUAUAAUACACUGCGACGUUAAGCCAGAGAACAUUUUGUUGGAUGCAGAAUAUAGUCCAAAAGUCGCAGAUUUUGGUCUUGCAAAACUCAUUGGGAGACACCAUAGUCGAGUUCUGACAACUGUGCGAGGAACUGUUGGAUAUCUAGCACCAGAAUGGUUUACAGGUGAAGCCAUCACUCCAAAAGCCGAUGUCUUCAGCUAUGGGAAGUUGCUCUUUGAGGUUAUAUCUGGAAGGAGAAACACUGAAGGGUUAGAUGAUGGAUUAGAGAACUACACCCCUAACCGGGUUGCAAAUGUAGUAACUAGAGGGCAAGAUGUUCUUACCUUGGUUGAUUACAGGUUGGCAGGUAAUGCUGACAAAGAUGAACUCAUUAGAGCAUGCAAAGUCGCGUGUUGGUGUAUUCAAGACGAAGAGAUGGAUAGGCCAACAAUGAGGCAGGUCGUUCAAAUUCUGGAAGGAGCUUUAGAUGUUGGUAUACCCCCGAUCCCACUGUUUCUCCAGCGCCUUUCCGGAAGUCCAAAGGAAGUAAUCAAUUACUCGGAACCUUAG
RNA transcript from Fragaria vesca subsp. vesca, 2295 nucleotides. It is a transcript of the gene named G-type lectin S-receptor-like serine/threonine-protein kinase At2g19130-like, with no coding region annotated. NCBI's taxonomy places the organism in Eukaryota, Viridiplantae, Streptophyta, Magnoliopsida, Rosales, Rosaceae. The transcript has a single exon. The record is from RefSeq and is a predicted model, not a curated record.